GGUGCCUUAGUACGGCGAGUGAAGCGGCAAAAGCUCAAAUUUGAAAUCUGGUACCUUCGGUGCCCGAGUUGUAAUUUGGAGAGGGCAACUUUGGGGCCGUUCCUUGUCUAUGUUCCUUGGAACAGGACGUCAUAGAGGGUGAGAAUCCCGUGUGGCGAGGAGUGCGGUUCUUUGUAAAGUGCCUUCGAAGAGUCGAGUUGUUUGGGAAUGCAGCUCUAAGUGGGUGGUAAAUUCCAUCUAAAGCUAAAUAUUGGCGAGAGACCGAUAGCGAACAAGUACAGUGAUGGAAAGAUGAAAAGAACUUUGAAAAGAGAGUGAAAAAGUACGUGAAAUUGUUGAAAGGGAAGGGCAUUUGAUCAGACAUGGUGUUUUGUGCCCUCUGCUCCUUGUGGGUAGGGGAAUCUCGCAUUUCACUGGGCCAGCAUCAGUUUUGGUGGCAGGAUAAAUCCAUAGGAAUGUAGCUUGCCUCGGUAAGUAUUAUAGCCUGUGGGAAUACUGCCAGCUGGGACUGAGGACUGCGACGUAAGUCAAGGAUGCUGGCAUAAUGGUUAUAUGCCGCCCGUCUUGAACAACGGACCAAA
Molecule: ribosomal RNA, 581 nt
Filed under: Saccharomyces cerevisiae (brewer's yeast)
Lineage: Eukaryota; Fungi; Ascomycota; Saccharomycetes; Saccharomycetales; Saccharomycetaceae
Description: partial large subunit ribosomal RNA
Rfam family: Eukaryotic large subunit ribosomal RNA
Source: RNAcentral